Molecule: long non-coding RNA, 1888 nt
Organism: Oxyura jamaicensis (ruddy duck)
Lineage: Eukaryota; Metazoa; Chordata; Aves; Anseriformes; Anatidae
Exons: 2
Source: RefSeq, a predicted model, not a curated record
ACUACAGUUUAACAACCAAAUUCAUACUUGAGUAAUUUAAUUGUCAUCUGAACUGGCUAAAUUCUAUUGAUAAGGACAUCGAGGUGUUGGAAUUCAAGGACAAGCUGUUGUCUUUGAGAGACCCCUGGGACAGCCUCAGAAAGAGUGCUGACACUUGCACUAGCAACAUCACUAAAGUCAGCCAGCCCUUGGCCUCAGAAUAAUAGUGUAGUUCAGUUGGAAGGAGCCUACAAAGCUCAUCAAGUCCAACUGCCUGAGGACUUCAGGGCUAGCCAAAAGUUAAAGCAUGUUAUUGAGGACAUUAUCCAAAUGCCUCUUGAAUGCGGCCAGGCACGGGGCAGCUACUACCUCUCUAGGAAGCCUGUUCCAGUGUCUGACCACCCUCAUAAUAAAGAAAUUUUUAUUAUUGUCUGGUCUGAGCCUCCUCUGGCACAGCUUUGUGUUGUUCCCAUGUGUCCUGUCAUCAGUUACUGGGGAGAAGGGACCAUUACCUCCGUGUCCCUUCCUCAGGAAGGUGCAGAGAACAAUGAGGUUGCCUUUGAGCCUUCUCUUCUCCAGACCAGACAACCCAAGCACCUUCAGCCUCUCCUUGUAGAGGAGCCUCGGUGCUUUGCAAGCUUGGCUUCAACCCCAUGGAGCUGUUGCAGGGACACAGGAGAGGGACGCUUCUGCUGCUGCUUCCCAGACACCUCGUGCUUGACACAGUGGGAAGCAUUGCUCCAGUCAGUGUGGCCUGGCAGAUUCCCUCCCCUUGAAAUUACCGUGCCUUUCUCUGCCCUUCAAGACAGUGACAAUAACAAAAUAAAGUGGCAGUAAAUUCCUCUGCCUUCCCACCACCAUCAGAUGUGCUCACAGUGGUCUCCCUUGGGCCAGUACCUACCUGCCUUGCUCCGUCAGAGCAGUGCAGAGAGACUGUACUGACACCCUGGCUGCAAAUAAUUUCUAAUUAUAUGAAUAAGCAGCUUAUUAACAAUACGUUUUGGCUAAUCAUUUUGUGCUAGAUAUCUCCGCAUUGUCUUUUCCCCAAAUCCCUCUCUCAUCAGGCACUUGAUGCUCAAUAACAAGGAGGAAUGCACUGGUUCUCUUAGGAACAAAUCCCAAGAGCCUGCAAUUAGUUCAGUUUCUGCAACAAGUUGCCUGCAAACUGAGCCAAGAACUGUGCCACAGUGCUGCGAGAAAGGCUGAGGCACUGCCUCCACGUUUACCAUGCCUAUUGGAAGUCCUGCCUUGGAGCAGAGGAGCUCUCAGGAGCAGGACAGGUCAUGAGAUGUCUGUGCAGGACCCAGCUUGUUGGGAGCAGCAAAGAAGUAAGGAUGGUGGUCCUCUUGCUGUGUCUCUGACAGAGGAUCAAUAUGGAUUUUAAUUACAGCAGCACAGAAAAUGAGACGGAUGGGAUCUCAGGAGGUCACUUAAUCCACUCCAGUGACACUCUGUAGGAUCAACUCCUCCUGUGUCGUUUCAGAGGAUCUCUUUAACUAGUUCAGGUUGCAGCAUUCAGUGCUGCAUCAUCCUGACUUGAAAGCUUUCCCUAACACCUGAGUCUCCCUGCUAUUUAACGCCUCUCUCCUUUCUGUGUCUGCCACAGACACGGAGAACAGAUGCUUCCCUUUCUCCUGCUGUGCAGGCUCCUGCCAUGCCUCCGCACAGCCUUUCCACUCCAGACUAACCGUCCCCAGUCCUUUUAAUUUCCCCUCCCAGGCCGUGUUUCUGACAGCUUGAAUCCUUUUAGUUCUCCAAACUAAAUCAUCAAUCCGCCUAUUUUCUGCUGACUUCAUGAACAUCCCCAAAGCCCCCUGAACUUUCCUUUGCUUGCGCAUCCACUGGGGGGUGCAGCCUUGCCCUUCUCUCCCCUUCCACAGAAACUCUACCUCCUCGCUGCCAUUCCUCA